Amblyraja radiata (thorny skate) is the source of this 2474-nucleotide long non-coding RNA. RefSeq lists it as uncharacterized. NCBI's taxonomy places the organism in Eukaryota, Metazoa, Chordata, Chondrichthyes, Rajiformes, Rajidae. The transcript is spliced from 3 exons. The record is from RefSeq and is a predicted model, not a curated record.
AAGACGCCGGGAAUCGGCCGGCAACCUUCUGAAAAAGAAAGUCCGGGAUCCCGCGAGCCAAUCGGAUCGUAAAGUGGGCGGCGCUUCCGCUUUCAGGCAGACCAAAAAUAGAUGAAAACUUAAGCAACCAAGACAAGAAAACUUGAGGAUGGAGAAGGCCAUUCAGGCUUUUAAUGCUAAUUUCCCUGAUUCCUGCCUCUUGUCAUGACAUUUAGCUGUAAACAAUCAAGGUAUUAAUGAAGUUCUAAACAAAUAACUCAGUGAAUCAUUUAGUAUUACCUUGGAUAUCACCAACAACUACAAUGGGACAAUGGCAUGAAAUGGAGUCUGAAGAAAGGUCCCGACCUGAAACAUCACUUAUCUAUGUUAUCCAAAGAUGCUGCCUGACCCAUUGAAUUACUAGCACUUUGUGUUCUUUGAUGAAAUGCUAAAGUUGUCUUGAGAAAGUUCACAGUUUCCAAUACACUUUGGAUGGCAGUGGAAUCGUGGUGUGUGGGUAACCUACACCUGUUUGAAAGGAUGCAGUAAGCACUUGAAAUGUGUGCACAUGCUUCAUUAUUAUGAUUGCAGUAACAAGCCUGAACUAACCUUGGGGCAUGAAUCAGCUGCCUCCCUUUGACACAGUGAUGCAUCUGGUCGAGCUGAUAUCUUAACUCCAAAGCUGUUGGUUCAAUGUUUUUUGUCGGAAAUUUGCACAUUCCCUCGAUGAAAGCAUGACUUUUGUCUGGGUGCUCUGGUUUCCACCUACUUUCCAAAAACAUGCAAGCAGUGUGUAGAUGAGUGGCAGAAUCUGGGAAGAGUUAAUGGAGUGAGACAAAUACAUGGAAUUAGGGUUAGAAUGAGUAAGAGCUUGAUGCUCAGCGCUGGGCAGAGGACCUGUCACUGAAUUGCAUGUCUCUAUAACUCUCAGGAUGACAGCAUUUGUGGUCCUACCACCACAAUUCUACCCAGACCCUUCCUGUUGCCUGUAAGCUAAUUAGCCCCGGCAACUGAUACUUACUGCAAAAUGAUGCUCAAAUGUGCCUCAAGUGUGCUGUUGCAGUCAUUGAUAUUUAGUAUCUGGUCUAGUUAUAUUUCUGGUUAAUAGCAGCCCCAUUAUGUUGAUGAUGGGGAUUUUCCAAUGGUAAUGCCACAAGUGUAAAGAAGAAGUAGUUAAUUAAGACACAAAAUACUGGAAAUAAUCAACAGGUCAGGCCAUAUGUUUGGGAAGAGAAACAGACCUAUUGUUUCUGGUUGAAGAUCCUUCAUCACUUUCAGGUGGUUGGAUUAUUUAUUGUUAGAGAUAAAAGUAAUUUGUCACUUAUCACCCAAACCGUACAUGGUCCAGGUCAUUCUGCCUCCUGGCACCGUCUCUCUUUUUCUGUGAGUCACAUUUGAUAUUAAUUGGCUCAAAGUGAGCAUACCAUAUCCUUAAUGCACAUCCAGGGAAGGCCUUUCAUUAUCACCUCCUCCCUUGAUUGUCCAUCUGUGCUUCCUGCUCCUCCUCUUCACAGUGUGGUUUCAUGGCCAAUGUCUCAGUCUGUAUGUAGACAGAAUUAUGCAGGACCCUCCAGGUGAUGAUGAAGUGUGACACAUGCCCUGGAGUGCAUCUCUAGACCAUUCCAGACAUUAAUAACUUUACUUUUCUCCAUAAUGCUGGAAAUAGCUCCAGGUUCUGAUGAAAACAUGAUUGGCUGUGAAGACUGGAAGUGUAACAAGUCUGGAGACAGGCAUUCAGAGAGUAGCCUUUCACCCUCUUGAGCUACAAGUUGGUCUGAUACAAUGCUGUUUUCAGUUUUCAGAGUAGACAACUGAAAACUUUUCCUUGAGUAGAAAACCUUUGAAGCAUCUAAAAUGGAGCAGGAGAUGGCUGAUAAAAAGAGUCAGAAGCAAAGGAAAUGGCCACAAUGUCUUUCAUUGGCAUAGACAACCAGUAGUAUAUCUCAGUGACUCACCAGAUAAUAGAUUGACUCUCCACCCGACUCUGCUCGCUCCUUUGGUCAGAAAGGACUUUCUUGGGUCUCGGAUUUCUUACAUUAUUUGAGUAAAGCAACACAGUUCAGUUCCUACUCAUCCACUAACGAAUUUGCAAAUGAUUAAGGAUGCUUUAAAAUAGUGUUGAUAGGAGAGGACGGGUGGUCGUUGCUUUUCUUCCUGGAUGCCUGGAAUCCAAUUUGUACAAAUGUAAUGGAAAUUCUGAGCAAACAAAAAUCACCAUUGCAAUUAUAAUUCCUAAGCAUUACUUUCAAAAGCUUUUAAUCCUUGAUGGGAAUUGUGCUGUAUGAGAUGUUUAUUGCUUUAAGUUUCAAGAGAGCAUUCUAAAUGCGGCAGCUGACACUGCUCACUCCUCUGGUCAUGUCUGUUCAUUGCAUCAGAAAUUCAUAAUUAUUACUGAUCAUUUUUGUAAAAUGAAAAUACAGUGUCCUCCAUAAUGUUUGGGACAAAGACCCAUCAUUUAUUUAUUUGCCUCUGUACUCCACAAUUUGAGAUUUGUA